This 1151-nucleotide long non-coding RNA is filed under the name Zostera marina. RNAcentral describes it as "long non-coding RNA (ZMAR_LNC001785)". Lineage: Eukaryota; Viridiplantae; Streptophyta; Magnoliopsida; Alismatales; Zosteraceae. The record is from RNAcentral.
CUUGAUUUUGUUUUCUUUGAUCCCCAAAUUGUCCUGCAGAAUUUAUUAGCACAACUCCCUGAAUUUGAUCAGAAGGUAAUUCUGAUGCUGCAAUAAGAGCAGUAAAUCCUCCAAGGCUGCAAUAUUGGAGAAACAUCAUUACAGUUUGUUUUUUGAAAGUCUAUUUAUUGCUCUUAUGAAAAAAAUUAUUUAUUUAAAUGUUUCAAGUCCAGCAAUUGCCUGUUUCCAACUAGAACUGCUGGUUCCUUUACAAUUUCUUUCAGGAAAUCGGUAACUUGAUCUCUCCAUAUCAUGGCAUCAUACUCGACAAGUGCCUUGUCACUCCAUCCAAAUCCCAACAAGUCCAAGGCAUAAACUUUAUGGGAUUUUGCAAGCUCUGGUAUGUUGUAUCUGCUCAUACAUUAAUAUCUUAUUUUUUAUUUUUUAUAAAACAAAAAUUACAUAUAGCUAUUAGCUACCAAGUAACAACCAAGAGGUCAUGAUUUUAUAUUUUUACCUCCAGUGAUAAGCUGAAGCCCCAAAACCAUGUAUAAGAAUAACAGGAGGUCCACCAGUUCCUUGUUCUACAUAAUGAAUUUUGUUUCCUUUCCAGUUCCAGAAACUGUAUCCUUCUUUUUUGAAUGGUAGUCUCUCCAACCCUGUAUUUUAUUAAGAAAAGGGGGGGAAAAUCAUAUUCACUUAUUCAGACUCUGAUACCUUUUGCAUUAAGUGGCUUUGGCAUGUAAAGUUGUAAAUUGUACGACUGUAGUUUGUAAAAGUAUAAAAUUGACUAAUAAAUAACAAUAAGAUAAACCUUGUGCGGGUUUGUCUUCUGUAAGUAAAGAAGAGCAUAACACGGUAGAGAUUCCUUUGACGGCUAAAUCCCUUCUUCUGAGCAUACCGUUACAUGAAAUCCCUUUCAAACAAGCAAAAACCAAAAAACCAGCCAGAUUCACUUUCAAUUCUUAUUUUGAGUAGAGGAAUAUUAGAGUAAGUAGUUGGGAAUGGUGAUAACUUACUUUGAAUUUCCUGUUUUUGUGGAGAAGAAAGGAAGGAACGAGUUGGAGAGAAAAUAUCUCUCCGGGACGGGACUGUAAAGGAGUUUGAAAUCGGAGAAGAAAUCAUAUCUGGAAAAUGGCGCAGCAAAUUUGAAGAAUGUCUCUGCCUCUCUG